CGAAAGUAAAAUUUCGUGGAGGUCCGAACCCACGAGCGUUGAAAAGCUCGGGGAUGACUUGUGGGUAGCGGUGAAAUUCCAAUCGAGCCCGGAGAUAGCUGGUUCUCCCCGAAAUAGCUUUAGGGCUAGCCUCAAGGUGAGAGAUACGGAGGUAGAGCACUGAAUGUCCUAGGGGGUAUUGCACCUACCGAAGACUAUCAAACUCCGAAUGCCGUCAUCUUAUACUUGGGAGUCAGACUGUGGGUGAUAAGAUUCAUAGUCGAAAGGGCAACAGCCCAGAUCGUCAGCUAAGGUCCCUAAAUGUAAGUUAAGUGGUAAAGGAUGUGGGAUUGCACAGACAACCAGGAUGUUGGCUUAGAAGCAGCCACUCAUUCAAAGAGUGCGUAAUAGCUCACUGGUCGAGUGAUCCUGCGCCGAAGAUUUCCGGGGCUAAAACUUACUACCGAAGCUACGGCAUCAGUAAUGA
RNAcentral lists this ribosomal RNA (466 nucleotides) under Clostridioides difficile. RNAcentral's name for it is "partial 23S ribosomal RNA". It matches the Rfam family "Bacterial large subunit ribosomal RNA", at positions 751 to 1217 of the family's 2925-position model. Lineage: Bacteria; Bacillati; Bacillota; Clostridia; Peptostreptococcales; Peptostreptococcaceae. The record is from RNAcentral.